Molecule: ribosomal RNA, 1486 nt
Filed under: Staphylococcus haemolyticus
Lineage: Bacteria; Bacillati; Bacillota; Bacilli; Caryophanales; Staphylococcaceae
Description: bacterial SSU rRNA
Rfam family: Bacterial small subunit ribosomal RNA
Source: RNAcentral
UGGCUCAGGAUGAACGCUGGCGGCGUGCCUAAUACAUGCAAGUCGAGCGAACAGACAAGGAGCUUGCUCCUUUGACGUUAGCGGCGGACGGGUGAGUAACACGUGGGUAACCUACCUAUAAGACUGGGAUAACUUCGGGAAACCGGAGCUAAUACCGGAUAAUAUUUCGAACCGCAUGGUUCGAUAGUGAAAGAUGGUUUUGCUAUCACUUAUAGAUGGACCCGCGCCGUAUUAGCUAGUUGGUAAGGUAACGGCUUACCAAGGCGACGAUACGUAGCCGACCUGAGAGGGUGAUCGGCCACACUGGAACUGAGACACGGUCCAGACUCCUACGGGAGGCAGCAGUAGGGAAUCUUCCGCAAUGGGCGAAAGCCUGACGGAGCAACGCCGCGUGAGUGAUGAAGGUCUUCGGAUCGUAAAACUCUGUUAUUAGGGAAGAACAUACGUGUAAGUAACUAUGCACGUCUUGACGGUACCUAAUCAGAAAGCCACGGCUAACUACGUGCCAGCAGCCGCGGUAAUACGUAGGUGGCAAGCGUUAUCCGGAAUUAUUGGGCGUAAAGCGCGCGUAGGCGGUUUUUUAAGUCUGAUGUGAAAGCCCACGGCUCAACCGUGGAGGGUCAUUGGAAACUGUAAAACUUGAGUGCAGAAGAGGAAAGUGGAAUUCCAUGUGUAGCGGUGAAAUGCGCAGAGAUAUGGAGGAACACCAGUGGCGAAGGCGACUUUCUGGUCUGUAACUGACGCUGAUGUGCGAAAGCGUGGGGAUCAAACAGGAUUAGAUACCCUGGUAGUCCACGCCGUAAACGAUGAGUGCUAAGUGUUAGGGGGUUUCCGCCCCUUAGUGCUGCAGCUAACGCAUUAAGCACUCCGCCUGGGGAGUACGACCGCAAGGUUGAAACUCAAAGGAAUUGACGGGGACCCGCACAAGCGGUGGAGCAUGUGGUUUAAUUCGAAGCAACGCGAAGAACCUUACCAAAUCUUGACAUCCUUUGACAACUCUAGAGAUAGAGCCUUCCCCUUCGGGGGACAAAGUGACAGGUGGUGCAUGGUUGUCGUCAGCUCGUGUCGUGAGAUGUUGGGUUAAGUCCCGCAACGAGCGCAACCCUUAAGCUUAGUUGCCAUCAUUAAGUUGGGCACUCUAAGUUGACUGCCGGUGACAAACCGGAGGAAGGUGGGGAUGACGUCAAAUCAUCAUGCCCCUUAUGAUUUGGGCUACACACGUGCUACAAUGGACAAUACAAAGGGCAGCGAAACCGCGAGGUCAAGCAAAUCCCAUAAAGUUGUUCUCAGUUCGGAUUGUAGUCUGCAACUCGACUACAUGAAGCUGGAAUCGCUAGUAAUCGUAGAUCAGCAUGCUACGGUGAAUACGUUCCCGGGUCUUGUACACACCGCCCGUCACACCACGAGAGUUUGUAACACCCGAAGCCGGUGGAGUAACCAUUUGGAGCUAGCCGUCGAAGGUGGGACAAAUGAUUGGGGUGAAGUC